Molecule: ribosomal RNA, 589 nt
Filed under: uncultured Eubacteriales bacterium
Lineage: Bacteria; Bacillati; Bacillota; Clostridia; Eubacteriales
Description: bacterial SSU rRNA
Rfam family: Bacterial small subunit ribosomal RNA
Source: RNAcentral
AGAGUUUGAUCCUGGCUCAGGACGAACGCUGGCGGCGUGCCUAACACAUGCAAGUCGAACGGUCCGGCACUCAGUACUCAGUGAUCAGUAUAAAAGUGAAUUAAAAAGUAUUUAAGAUGAUGAUUAAGUACAAUAUGCAAAUAUACUGAUUAGCGAGUACUGAGUGCCGGAUAGUGGCGGACGGGUGAGUAACGCGUGGAUAACCUGCCUAUCAGACCGGGACAACUCCGGGAAACUGGAGCUAAUACCGGAUACGAAUAUAAAAGCGCAUGCUUAUAUAUUGAAAGAUUUAUCGCUGAUAGAUGGACCCGCGUCCCAUUAGCUAGUUGGAGGUGUAAUAGACCCCCAAGGCGACGAUGGGUAGCCGGCCUGAGAGGGCGAUCGGCCACACUGGAACUGAGACACGGUCCAGACUCCUACGGGAGGCAGCAGUGGGGAAUAUUCCGCAAUGGGCGCAAGCCUGACGGAGCAACGCCGCGUGAGGGAAGAAGGUCUUCGGAUUGUAAACCUUUGUUCUAUGGGAAGAAAAAAAUGACGGUACCAUAGGAGAAAGCCCCGGCUAACUACGUGCCAGCCGCCGCGGUAAUAC